This 265-nucleotide ribosomal RNA is filed under the name uncultured archaeon. RNAcentral describes it as "partial 16S ribosomal RNA". It matches the Rfam family "Archaeal small subunit ribosomal RNA", at positions 714 to 982 of the family's 1478-position model. The record is from RNAcentral.
AGACGUCUACAUUAGUACCCCCUGUAGUCCCAGCCGUAAACUAUGCGCGUUAGGUGUAUCGGUGACCACGAGUUACCGAGGUGCCGAAGGGAAACCGUGAAACGUGCCGCCUGGGAAGUACGGUCGCAAGGCUGAAACUUAAGGAAUUGGCGGGGGAGCACCACAACAGGUGGAGCCUUGCGGUUUAAUUGGACUCAACGCCGGGAAGCUCACCGGAUAGGACAGCAGAAUGAUUGCCGGGCUGAAGACCCUGCAUGACUAGCUG